UACGUAGGGGGCAAGCGUUGUCCGGAUUUAUUGGGCGUAAAGAGCGUGUAGGCGGCUUGGUAGGUCUCGCGUCAAAACCUGCGGCUCAACCGCAGUUCGCGUGGGAAACCACCUAGCUAGAGUCCAGAAGAGGAGAACGGAAUUCCCAGUGUAGCGGUGAAAUGCGCAGAUAUUGGGAAGAACACCAGUGGCGAAGGCGGUUCUCUGGGACGGUACUGACGCUGAGACGCGAAAGCGUGGGGAGCGAACAGG
Molecule: ribosomal RNA, 252 nt
Filed under: uncultured bacterium
Lineage: Bacteria
Description: partial 16S ribosomal RNA
Rfam family: Bacterial small subunit ribosomal RNA
Source: RNAcentral